GACGAACGCUGGCGGCGUGCUUAACACAUGCAAGUCGAACGGAAAGGCCCUGCUUUUGUGGGGUGCUCGAGUGGCGAACGGGUGAGUAACACGUGAGUAACCUGCCCUUGACUUUGGGAUAACUUCAGGAAACUGGGGCUACUACCGGAUAGGAGCUCCUGCUGCAUGGUGGGGGUUGGAAAGUUUCGGCGGUUGGGGAUGGACUCGCGGCUUAUCAGCUUGUUGGUGGGGUAGUGGCUUACCAAGGCUUUGACGGGUAGCCGGCCUGGGAGGGUGACCGGGCACAUUGGGACUGAGAUACGGACCAGACUCCUACGGGAGGCAGCAGUGGGGAAUAUUGCACAAUGGGCGGAAGCCUGAUGCAGCAACGCCGCGUGCGGGAUGACGGCCUUCGGGUUGUAAACCGCUUUCGCCUGUGACGAAGCGUGAGUGACGGUAAUGGGUAAAGAAGCACCGGCUAACUACGUG
Molecule: ribosomal RNA, 468 nt
Filed under: uncultured bacterium
Lineage: Bacteria
Description: partial 16S ribosomal RNA
Rfam family: Bacterial small subunit ribosomal RNA
Source: RNAcentral